Marmota monax (woodchuck) is the source of this 292-nucleotide long non-coding RNA. RefSeq lists it as uncharacterized. Lineage: Eukaryota; Metazoa; Chordata; Mammalia; Rodentia; Sciuridae. The record is from RefSeq and is a predicted model, not a curated record. The transcript is spliced from 2 exons.
CAGGGAGAGGCAGACCCCCAACCCUGGCCGUGGCCUCCCACCUCCCGGCGGGGCUCCCAUCCUCCCCACCCCCUGCAGUCAGCCAGCACACACACCCAGACUCAUCUCCGUGAGCGUCUGUCAACCGCCGGUCCCUGCCUCACAGCCUUGCCCUCCCGCCCUCUGACCACCGGCUGCACCGCCCUGACAUUCAAUACGUCUCCCACAGAACGGGCCAAAGAAACGACAUGCCAUCGUCUGCAAAAUUAUAAUUUAACGGUAUAAAGCUUCAAGUCACGUUUUCCAAAAACUA